GGGACGAACAGUCAAACCGCAUAGAAAAAGCUGUGGUUUUGAAAAUGCCCCUUAGUAUAGUGGAAUCGGAGCAGCGGAGAAGGCUUAAUUGCUCCCAGUGAGUGAUGCCAGAGGACUUGAUUAGACCCCGGACCACUUCUCAUGUUCUUCAUUUGUGCG
Long non-coding RNA from Cyprinus carpio (common carp), 159 nucleotides. NCBI's taxonomy places the organism in Eukaryota, Metazoa, Chordata, Actinopteri, Cypriniformes, Cyprinidae. The record is from Ensembl.